RNAcentral lists this ribosomal RNA (442 nucleotides) under uncultured bacterium. RNAcentral's name for it is "bacterial SSU rRNA". It matches the Rfam family "Bacterial small subunit ribosomal RNA", at positions 337 to 795 of the family's 1533-position model. The record is from RNAcentral.
UCCUACGGGGGGCUGCAGUCGAGAAUAUUCCCCAAUGGACGAAAGUCUGAGGGAGCGACGCCGCGUGCAGGAAGAAGGGCUUCGGCUCGUAAACUGCUUUUGCCGAGAAAGAAUCAUGACGGUACUCGGAGAAUAAGAGGUUGCUAACUCUGUGCCAGCAGCAGCGGUAAUACAGAGACCUCAAGCGUUAUCCGGAUUAAUUGGGCGUAAAGGGUCCGCAGGUGGUUUCGUGCGUCUCUUGUCAAAUGUAAAGGCUCAACUUUUACACCGCGAGGGAUACGACGAGACUAGAGACUGGGAGGGGCAAGCGGAAUUACCGGUGUAGUAGUAAAAUGCGUUAAUAUCGGUAAGAACACCAAAAGCGAAGGCAGCUUGCUAGAACAGUUCUGACACUCAGGGACGAAAGCGUGGGUAGCGAAAGGGAUUAGAUACCCUGGUAGUC